This 479-nucleotide ribosomal RNA is filed under the name uncultured bacterium. RNAcentral's name for it is "partial 16S ribosomal RNA". It matches the Rfam family "Bacterial small subunit ribosomal RNA", at positions 28 to 507 of the family's 1533-position model. The record is from RNAcentral.
GAUGGACGCUAGCGGGAGGCCUAACACAUGCAAGCCGAGCGGUAGAGUUUCUUCGGAAACUUGAGAGCGGCGCACGGGUGCGUAACACGUGUGCAACCUACCUUUAUCUGGGGGAUAGCCUUUCGAAAGGAAGAUUAAUACCCCAUAAUAUAAUGAUUGGCAUCAAUUAUUAUUGAAAACUCCGGUGGAUAGAGAUGGGCACGCGCAAGAUUAGAUAGUUGGUGAGGUAACGGCUCGCCAAGUCAAUGAUCUUUAGGGGUCCUGAGAGGGAGAUCCCCCACACGGGUACUGAGACACGGACCAGACUCCUACGGGAGGCAGCAGUGAGGAAUAUUGGACAAUGGGUGAGAGCCUGAUCCAGCCAUCCCGCGUGAAGGAUGACGGUCCUAUGGAUUGUAAACUUCUUUUGUACAGGGAUAAACCUACCCUCGUGAGGGUAGCUGAAGGUACUGUACGAAUAAGCACCGGCUAACUCCGUG